GUGGGGAAUUUUGGACAAUGGGCGCAAGCCUGAUCCAGCCAUUCCGCGUGCAGGAUGAAGGCCUUCGGGUUGUAAACUGCUUUUGUACGGAACGAAAAGCCUCUGGUUAAUACCCGGGGGUCAUGACGGUACCGUAAGAAUAAGCACCGGCUAACUACGUGCCAGCAGCCGCGGUAAUACGUAGGGUGCGAGCGUUAAUCGGAAUUACUGGGCGUAAAGCGUGCGCAGGCGGUGAUGUAAGACAGUUGUGAAAUCCCCGGGCUCAACCUGGGAACUGCAUCUGGGACUGCAUGGCUGGAGUGCGGCAGAGGGGGAUGGAAUUCCGCGUGUAGCAGUGAAAUGCGUAGAUAUGCGGAGGAACACCGAUGGCGAAGGCAGUCCCCUGGGCCUGCACUGACGCUCAUGCACGAAAGCGUGGGGAGCAAACAGGAUUAGAAACCCCGGUAGUCC
RNAcentral lists this ribosomal RNA (450 nucleotides) under uncultured bacterium. RNAcentral describes it as "partial 16S ribosomal RNA". It matches the Rfam family "Bacterial small subunit ribosomal RNA", at positions 354 to 796 of the family's 1533-position model. The record is from RNAcentral.